GUCUACGGCCAUACCACCCUGAACGCGCCCGAUCUCAUCUGAUCUCGGAAGCUAAGCAGGGUCGGGCCUGGUUAGUACUUGGAUGGGAGAAAUAAACACACUCUUGAUU
RNAcentral lists this ribosomal RNA (109 nucleotides) under Neogale vison (American mink). Lineage: Eukaryota; Metazoa; Chordata; Mammalia; Carnivora; Mustelidae. The record is from RNAcentral.